This 407-nucleotide ribosomal RNA is filed under the name uncultured bacterium. RNAcentral describes it as "partial 16S ribosomal RNA". It matches the Rfam family "Bacterial small subunit ribosomal RNA", at positions 28 to 526 of the family's 1533-position model. The record is from RNAcentral.
GACGAACGCUGGCGGCGUGCCUAAUACAUGCAAGUAGAACGCAGUUGCGAACGGGUGAGUAACGCGUAGGUAACUGCCUCAUCGCGGGGGAUAACUAUUGGAAACGAUAGCUAAUACCGCCUACUGUGAGAUGGACCUGCGUUGUUUUAGCUAGUUGGUGAGGUAAAGGCACACCAAGGCGACGAUACAUAGCCGACCUGGGAGGGUGAUGGACGACACUGAGACUGGGACACGGACCAGAUUCCAACGGGAGCCAGCAGUAGGGAAGCGGCGGCAAUGUACGGAAGUGUUACCGAGCAACGCCGCGUUAGUGAGGAAGGUGUUCGGAUCGUAAAUCUCUGUUGUUAGAUAAGCGGUAACUAAUCAGAAAGGGACGGCUAACUACGUGCCAGCAGCCGCGGUAAUAC